This 394-nucleotide long non-coding RNA is filed under the name Lynx pardinus (Iberian lynx). Lineage: Eukaryota; Metazoa; Chordata; Mammalia; Carnivora; Felidae. The record is from RNAcentral.
UGCAGAGUGUAGCAGGUUCCUUGGACUCAGGCUGCAGAGAGGAGGAACCGAGCCAGAGAGAACAAGUGCUUCUCCAAUUAAAGUAUGUUCAUGAUGGCGUUGUACAACUGAGUGAGCACCACAAAGUGGACGGGAAGGCAGGAGGUGCGGUCCUGGGUGGCCGGAUUGCACGUGAGCCAGGACAGAGCGUUGUACUGCUCCAAAACGAACCUGCCGGAGAGAGUACACAGGUCAGGGCCACGGGCCACAGCGGUGCUUUUACAUCUUAACGUUCCACAAGUCAGCAGGACGAGGCUCCGUAUAUGUCAGUCUUUCGCUUGCCCCCGGGUUUCCUCAUGGUUCUUUUCCCCCCGUGCCCACCUCAUCUAGACCCACACUGUCCAGUAUGGCAGCC